This 229-nucleotide ribosomal RNA is filed under the name Providencia stuartii. Its description in RNAcentral is "partial 23S ribosomal RNA". It matches the Rfam family "Bacterial large subunit ribosomal RNA", at positions 2124 to 2352 of the family's 2925-position model. The record is from RNAcentral. Lineage: Bacteria; Pseudomonadati; Pseudomonadota; Gammaproteobacteria; Enterobacterales; Morganellaceae.
UUGAGCCUUGAUGUGUAGGAUAGGUGGGAGGCUUUGAAGUGUGGACGCCAGUCUGCAUGGAGCCAACCUUGAAAUACCACCCUUUAAUGUUUGAUGUUCUAACGUUGCCCCGUGAUCCGGGGUGCGGACAGUGUCUGGUGGGUAGUUUGACUGGGGCGGUCUCCUCCCAAAGCGUAACGGAGGAGCACGAAGGUUGGCUAAGCAUGGUCGGACAUCAUGCGGUUAGUGC